GCCCUAGUAACGGCGAGUGAAGCGGCAACAGCUCAAAUUUGAAAUCUGGCCUUCUGGUCCGAAUUGUAAUUUGUAGAGGAUGCUUUUGGUGCGGUGCCUUCCGAGUUCCCUGGAACGGGACGCCUUAGAGGGUGAGAGCCCCGUACGGUUGGACGCCUAGCCUCUGUAAAGCUCCUUCGACGAGUCGAGUAGUUUGGGAAUGCUGCUCUAAAUGGGAGGUAAAUUUCUUCUAAAGCUAAAUACCGGCCAGAGACCGAUAGCGCACAAGUAGAGUGAUCGAAAGAUGAAAAGCACUUUGAAAAGAGGGUUAAAUAGCACGUGAAAUUGUUGAAAGGGAAGCGCUUAUGACCAGACUUUCUCUAGGGGGAUCAUCCGGUGUUCUCACCGGUGCACUUCGCCUAGUUUAGGCCAGCGUCGAUUUUCGUAGGGGGAUAAAGACUUCAGGAACGUGACUCCCUCCGGGGAGUGUUAUAGCCUGUCGUGUAAUACCCUUACGGGGAUCGAGGUUCGCGCUCUGCAAGGACGCUGGCAUAAUGGUCAUCAGUGACCCGUCUUGAAACACGGACCAAGGAGUCGAACAUUUGUGCGAGUGUUUGGGUGUUAAACCCUCACGCGUAAUGAAAGUGAACGGAGGUGAGAGCCCUUUAGGGUGCAUCAUCGACCGAUCCUGAUGUCUUCGGAUGGAUUUGAGUAAGAGCAUAACUGUUCGGACCCGAAAGAUGGUGAACUAUGCGUGGAUAGGGUGAAGCCAGAGGAAACUCUGGUGGAGGCUCGCAGCGGUUCUGACGUGCAAAUCGAUCGUCAAAUCUGCGCAUGGGG
RNAcentral lists this ribosomal RNA (819 nucleotides) under Melanographium smilacis. RNAcentral describes it as "Melanographium sp. SB-2021a partial large subunit ribosomal RNA". It matches the Rfam family "Eukaryotic large subunit ribosomal RNA", at positions 77 to 922 of the family's 3401-position model. Lineage: Eukaryota; Fungi; Ascomycota. The record is from RNAcentral.